This 463-nucleotide ribosomal RNA is filed under the name uncultured bacterium. Its description in RNAcentral is "partial 16S ribosomal RNA". It matches the Rfam family "Bacterial small subunit ribosomal RNA", at positions 28 to 507 of the family's 1533-position model. The record is from RNAcentral.
GACGAACGCUGGCGGCGUGCCUAACACAUGCAAGUCGAGCGGGGGGAGUUCUUCGGAACGAACCUAGCGGCGGACGGGUGAGUAACACGUGGGCAACCUGCCUUGAGGAGGGGGAUAACAGGAGGAAAGUCCUGCUAAUACCGCAUACCCCGGUGCUGUCGCAUGAUGGCAUCGGCAAAGGAGCAAUCCGCCUCAAGAUGGGCCCGCGGCGCAUUAGCUAGUUGGUGGGGUAACGGCCUACCAAGGCGACGAUGCGUAGCCGACCUGAGAGGGUGAUCGGCCACAUUGGAACUGAGACACGGUCCAGACUCCUACGGGAGGCAGCAGUGGGGAAUAUUGCACAAUGGGCGAAAGCCUGAUGCAGCAACGCCGCGUGAGCGAUGAAGGCCUUCGGGUUGUAAAGCUCUGUCUUCGCUGACGAAAUCUGACGGUAAGCGAGGAGAAAGCCACGGCUAACUACGUG